This 416-nucleotide ribosomal RNA is filed under the name uncultured bacterium. Its description in RNAcentral is "bacterial SSU rRNA". It matches the Rfam family "Bacterial small subunit ribosomal RNA", at positions 28 to 490 of the family's 1533-position model. The record is from RNAcentral.
GACGAACGCUGGCGGCAUGCCUAACACAUGCAAGUCGAACGAGACCUUCGGGUCUAGUGGCGCACGGGUGCGUAACGCGUGGGAAUCUGCUCUUAGGUACGGAAUAACAGUUAGAAAUGACUGCUAAUACCGUAUAAUGACUCCGGUCCAAAGAUUUAUCGCCUAAGGAUGAGCCCGCGUAGGAUUAGCUUGUUGGUGAGGUAAAAGCUCACCAAGGCGACGAUCCUUAGCUGGUCUGAGAGGAUGAUCAGCCACACUGGGACUGAGACACGGCCCAGACUCCUACGGGAGGCAGCAGUGGGGAAUAUUGGACAAUGGGCGAAAGCCUGAUCCAGCAAUGCCGCGUGAAUGAUGAAGGCCUUAGGGUUGUAAAGCUCUUUUACCCGGGAAGAUAAUGACUGUACCGGGAGAAUAAG